UAUGAUUUUUUGAAUUAGGGUGUGACAAUUUGUGUCACGCCAUUGAUGUCCAAAUUCUUGAUUUUUUCUACCUUGCCUAAUGAACUCAAUUUGGUCAGAUGUUUUGCAUGAACAUGCUUAUAGAUGUUGAGAAUAUGUAUGAAUUUUUUUGGAAUUUUGGAAUGCAUUUCCUAAUUGUUUGAUAAUUUCUCCCCUGUUUGGCCAAAAUGUUGACUUUUGUGACACUUGAUGCCAUUUGUUUUGUGAAAUUCUCAUACAUUAUUGGAUGGACAUGAAAUUUAAC
This 283-nucleotide long non-coding RNA is filed under the name Lathyrus oleraceus (garden pea). RNAcentral describes it as "Pisum sativum (pea) long non-coding RNA (PSAT_LNC015817)". Lineage: Eukaryota; Viridiplantae; Streptophyta; Magnoliopsida; Fabales; Fabaceae. The record is from RNAcentral.